GUUUAAGAAAUUUUUAAUCCUGAUGAGUUCAAGGGUCAAAAGAGUCUGGGAGUCUGAGGGAUGCUCUUCAGCGUCUCAGCCUUGGUCCUCCAAUAAGUCAUCAAAACAUACUUCAGUCCUGUAAUUAAAGCAACUGCAGCUGCAUGGUGUGAAUUUUGUUCUCGCACAGAUCCUUACAUCGGGAAGAUGUUCAUUCCCUUCACCAUGCCUGUUCUCCUCUGUCUCUCCAGCUUCAUGAGAAGUUUGACCUCCUAAAGCGGACACACCAAGAGGAGAAGAAGAAGGUGGAAGACAAGAAGAAGGAGCUUGAGGAGGAGGUGAACAACUUCCAGAAGAAGAAAGCUGCAGCUCAGUUGCUACAGUCCCAGGCCCAGCAGUCUGGCGCCCAGCAAACCAAGAAAGACAAGGAUAAGAAAAAUAGUCCUUGGCUCUGCACGGAGUAAAUGAUACCCUCAAAUCUAAUUGGAUGUGCUUUCGCCUUUGCAUCUUCUUCUUUAUGUAACCAUCCUGUUGACAAGCCCUACUCUCUCCUAAUGGACAUAGAGCAUUAGAAGAGCAGGAGCUGUCUGUUCACACGUGUUGGGGAAGAGUUACCUCAUUUCCACCAUCGCCUCCUGUUCUUUUAAAGUCUGGGUCAAAUAUUGCACUGCUGUUUGUAUUUGUCAAUGUCUGUUUACAAACCACGACCCAUAGUGGAUACUGAAGUGACUUAUCACUACCAAAAAUAACAGUACUUAAUUAAAAGGAAAAGGAAAUUGAGUGAAACAGAGAACUUGGGCCAAGACCCAAGGUCUUGUGUUGGGAUCUAAUUGCUUAGCUGUCAUGUUCUUGAAGCUGCUGAUCCAAGAACAUGUGGACUGAAGACAGCAUGUACCCUAACAUGAGGUGCCACCCCCUCUGGGGCCCAAAAACUUGAUCUCGUGGUAACUCCUGACCUCUGUGUCCCAUGAGCAACAUUCUGAACAGCCCGAUCAGGAUCCUCGACCAUCAUCAGGUCAUAAGAUCUGGGCAACAUUUUC
Molecule: long non-coding RNA, 1019 nt
Organism: Galeopterus variegatus (Sunda flying lemur)
Lineage: Eukaryota; Metazoa; Chordata; Mammalia; Dermoptera; Cynocephalidae
Exons: 3
Source: RefSeq, a predicted model, not a curated record